GACGAACGCUGGCGGCGUGCUUAACACAUGCAAGUCGAACGGAAAGGCCCUGCUUUUGUGGGGUGCUCGAGUGGCGAACGGGUGAGUAACACGUGAGUAACCUGCCCUUGACUUUGGGAUAACUUCAGGAAACUGGGGCUAAUACCGGAUAGGAGCUCCUGCUGCAUGGUGGGGGUUGGAAAGUUUCGGCGGUUGGGGAUGGACUCGCGGCUUAUCAGCUUGUUGGUGGGGUAGUGGCUUACCAAGGCUUUGACGGGUAGCCGGCCUGAGAGGGUGACCGGCCACAUUGGGACUGCGAUACGGCCCAGACUCCUACGGGAGGCAGCAGUGGGGAAUAUUGCACAAUGGGCGGACGCCUGAUGCAGCAACGCCGCGUGCGGGAUGACGGCCUUCGGGUUGUAACCCGCUUUCGCCUGUGACGAAGCGUGAGUGACGGUAAUGGGUAAAGAAGCCCCGGCUAACUACGUG
This 468-nucleotide ribosomal RNA is filed under the name uncultured bacterium. RNAcentral describes it as "partial 16S ribosomal RNA". It matches the Rfam family "Bacterial small subunit ribosomal RNA", at positions 28 to 507 of the family's 1533-position model. The record is from RNAcentral.